Molecule: ribosomal RNA, 253 nt
Filed under: uncultured bacterium
Lineage: Bacteria
Description: partial 16S ribosomal RNA
Rfam family: Bacterial small subunit ribosomal RNA
Source: RNAcentral
GACAGAGGUGCCAAGCGUUAGGCGGAAUCACUGGGCUUAAAGCGUGUGUAGGCGGACUUGUAAGUACCUUGUGAAAUCCCACGGCUCAACCGUGGAACUGCUCGGUAUACUGCUUGUCUUGAGCCACUUAGGGGCUGUCGGAACAAACGGUAGAGCGGUGAAAUGCGUAGAUAUCGUUUGGAACGCCAAUGGUGAAAACAGACAGCUGGGAGUGUGCUGACGCUGAGACACGAAAGCGUGGGGAGCGAACAGG